GAGACUGCGGUCGCGUCCGAAAUCACAUAGCUAGGCCUACAUGCCUCCAGGUGUAGUCUGCCAAGCAAUGAUAUGAGUUACUGGAGAAGUGAUUACACCGCUAUCAGGAAUGUAGACUACUGUGAGUGGGGGUUGGAUGUUGUCUAUUAUUUAAGACUGUGAUGGCUCAGCUUCAGGCUCCAAAACAGAAGGUUGUGAGUUCAGCUGACCAAGCUGCCACUGCUGAACCCUUGAGCAAGGCUCUUAACCUUUAUCUGCUCAGCUCAAUUGUCGGCUCACAGCACGUUUCACUGGAGGAAUAUGCUGAAUCAGUGUGUCAGAAUCAGUGACAGAAACCACAGGAUUGGGUAUGCAUGAUAGGUGAAAUAAAACAUGAUGCAUUUUAAAAAUAUAUUUUGACAAUUACAUUUGAAAUCUGUGUAAAGUGAUAAAGCCAUGAGUCAUGAUAAGGUUUUAUAUGCUACCAAAUGUAAUUUCAUUAUUCUUUUAUUCAUCUUCAGUAACUACUUUAUCCUCCAUCAGGGUUACAUCAGAUCUGGAGACUAUAGGAACAUUGAGCAUGAGGUGGGAAUAGAUCCAUCACAAGUCAUCACAAGUAUUAUGAUUCGAUAAUUUAAGUAAUUUGUGCUCUUUGAGUUUGUUACUGUCAGAAGGAUAUAUAGAAGUAAUAUAACAUCAGUGCUAUUAAUAACACCAUACAUAAGGAACGUAUUAUUAUACAUACAGAAUUCUUUAAAAAGUACAGUAUGAGUGCAAAAUAAAAGCACCUUCUUAGCUAUGUAUGUAAUGUGUUCUUUCCAAGUUUGAGAUUGCGGUUUUGCAGUGUCAGGUUUAGAUGCAGCUAAAAGAUGCCAUUUGGGAUUAUGGAGGUAAUUUAAUUUCUUUAUUGCGGCAUGUGGCUCAUAAUCCUUUAAUAUUACAACACCUGGUGUUGAGGCAUGUUGUCACACUCAUUUAUAGUCUGUGAAGCCCAAUGUUAAAUACCUUUGAAGUCUUCUGUGAAGUGAGUUGUCAGUAUUUCAACACCCUGUUUCUCAGGCAUCCAUCUCAAAAUACUGAUUGUUUUACAACAUGUCAUUAUUAGGGGCUUUGACUCUGCUGAGCUACUUUGACUUUCACAGGUGAGUGGGGAAUGCACCCCAUCAUCCAGCUGCUGGUGCAAUCAUCCAAACCUUAAUUUAGUUCCAAAGGAUUGCAAGGAGGCCACGAUCCCUCAUAAGUAACAGCUGGGUUUCAUUCAGACCUUUGGACAACUCAGAAGUUAGAUAAAAUUGAAUUUUUUUCAAAUCCACACUUUGAGAAUGCCUCUUCUAAAA
Ictalurus furcatus (blue catfish) is the source of this 1316-nucleotide long non-coding RNA. RefSeq lists it as uncharacterized. The transcript has 3 exons. Lineage: Eukaryota; Metazoa; Chordata; Actinopteri; Siluriformes; Ictaluridae. The record is from RefSeq and is a predicted model, not a curated record.